GUACUCGGCUGAGCUGAGGUAUGCCGGCAGGCUCGGAUGCCUGUCAUUCCCCGCAGCAGAGUUUUCAGGACUAAAGUUCACGCGAGGCUCGGAGGAGGGGGACUAUUUCAGGAGGGGGAAGUGUUUAAGAAAAGGAAUAACUCGUGCAACAACGCCUCACUGGAUCUCACAAUGCCCCCAAAGGACCUGACCCUCAGGAACGUCACACCUCCACUUCCCACCAGCCCAAAAUCUUCCCUCCCUCCCUUCCUCCCGACGGACUAGGUAAUCCGAGAAGAGCCCGCAAGAUGAGACGAGCUGAGGUGGAACCCGCCGGCAGGCAGGAAGUGACAUCACAGCAGUGUCUGAUUACACAGAGGGACCGAGUAAAUGACAGCCCACAGCCAGAAGAGACUACACUUUGGGAGGAACUGUUUGUCUCUCGUGCCAGCCUGAGACAGCACGGACUACACACACACACACACACAGGCAGACACAGACACAGGCAGACAGACAGACAGACA
Long non-coding RNA from Astyanax mexicanus (Mexican tetra), 503 nucleotides. RefSeq lists it as uncharacterized. NCBI's taxonomy places the organism in Eukaryota, Metazoa, Chordata, Actinopteri, Characiformes, Acestrorhamphidae. The record is from RefSeq and is a predicted model, not a curated record. The transcript is spliced from 2 exons.